RNAcentral lists this ribosomal RNA (488 nucleotides) under uncultured Sphingobacterium sp. RNAcentral's name for it is "partial 16S ribosomal RNA". The record is from RNAcentral. Lineage: Bacteria; Pseudomonadati; Bacteroidota; Sphingobacteriia; Sphingobacteriales; Sphingobacteriaceae.
CACGGAGUUAGCCGAUCCUUAUUCUUCCAGUACAUUCAGCUAGAUACACGUAUCUAGGUUUAUUCCUGGGCAAAAGCAGUUUACAACCCAUAGGGCAGUCAUCCUGCACGCGGCAUGGCUGGUUCAGGCUUCCGCCCAUUGACCAAUAUUCCUUACUGCUGCCUCCCGUAGGAGUCUGGUCCGUGUCUCAGUACCAGUGUGGGGGGAUUCUCCUCUCAGAGCCCCUAGACAUCGUCGCCUUGGUAAGCCGUUACCCUACCAACUAGCUAAUGUCACGCGAGCCCAUCUCUAUCCUAUAAAUAUUUAAUAGCUAACCGAUGCCGGUCAGAUAUGUUAUGCGGUGUUAAUCUCUCUUUCGAGAGGCUAUCCCCCUGAUAGAGGUAGGUUGCUCACGCGUUACGCACCCGUGCGCCACUCUCACCGUCUUCGAGCAAGCUCUCCGACGGAUCCCGUCCGACUUGCAUGUAUUAGGCCUGCCGCUAGCGUUC